This 66-nucleotide transfer RNA is filed under the name Sphagniana ussuriana. RNAcentral's name for it is "Metrioptera ussuriana tRNA-Tyr". It matches the Rfam family "tRNA". From Rfam's summary of the family: Transfer RNA (tRNA) molecules are approximately 80 nucleotides in length. Their secondary structure includes four short double-helical elements and three loops (D, anti-codon, and T loops). The record is from RNAcentral. Lineage: Eukaryota; Metazoa; Arthropoda; Insecta; Orthoptera; Tettigoniidae.
GGUAGAAUGGCCGAGGUUUAAGCGAUAAACUGUAAAUUUAUUUAGGAGAUUUUAUCUCUUCUACCA